This 499-nucleotide ribosomal RNA is filed under the name uncultured bacterium. Its description in RNAcentral is "bacterial SSU rRNA". It matches the Rfam family "Bacterial small subunit ribosomal RNA", at positions 28 to 525 of the family's 1533-position model. The record is from RNAcentral.
GAUGAACGCUAGCGGCAGGCCUAACACAUGCAAGUCGAGGGGUAGAAUUAGCUUGCUAAUUUGAGACCGGCGCACGGGUGCGUAACGCGUAUGCAAUCUACCUUGUACAGGGGGAUAGCCCAGAGAAAUUUGGAUUAAUACUCCAUGGUAUAAUUGAAUCGCAUGGUUUGAUUAUUAAAGUUCCAACGGUACAAGAUGAGCAUGCGUCCCAUUAGCUAGUUGGUGUGGUAACGGCAUACCAAGGCGACGAUGGGUAGGGGUCCUGAGAGGGAGAUCCCCCACACUGGUACUGAGACACGGACCAGACUCCUACGGGAGGCAGCAGUGAGGAAUAUUGGUCAAUGGUCGGAAGACUGAACCAGCCAUGCCGCGUGCAGGAAGACGGUCCUAUGGAUUGUAAACUGCUUUUGUACGGGAAGAAACACUCCUUCGUGAAGGAGCUUGACGGUACCGUAAGAAUAAGGAUCGGCUAACUCCGUGCCAGCAGCCGCGGUAAUCA